AACAGCAGCAUUACCACCUGGUGGCCUGAUGUCGUCGGGUCUCAGCCGGGCCGGGCCUGGUCAGGACUGGACUGGGAGACCUCGGAGGAAAGCCAGGUUGCUGCUGUCA
Ribosomal RNA from Lepisosteus oculatus (spotted gar), 109 nucleotides. The record is from Rfam. Lineage: Eukaryota; Metazoa; Chordata; Actinopteri; Semionotiformes; Lepisosteidae.